AGCCCUGAGGUGUUUUACAUGUUGGAUUGCAAAUCCAAAGUAGUAAACUAGCGUUUACUGGGGCUU
Molecule: transfer RNA, 66 nt
Filed under: Dentex angolensis (Angola dentex)
Lineage: Eukaryota; Metazoa; Chordata; Actinopteri; Spariformes; Sparidae
Description: tRNA-Cys
Source: RNAcentral